Molecule: ribosomal RNA, 2266 nt
Filed under: Salmonella enterica subsp. enterica serovar Typhimurium
Lineage: Bacteria; Pseudomonadati; Pseudomonadota; Gammaproteobacteria; Enterobacterales; Enterobacteriaceae
Description: partial 23S ribosomal RNA
Rfam family: Bacterial large subunit ribosomal RNA
Source: RNAcentral
GGACCGAACCGACUAAUGUUGAAAAAUUAGCGGAUGACCUGUGGCUGGGGGUGAAAGGCCAAUCAAACCGGGAGAUAGCUGGUUCUCCCCGAAAGCUAUUUAGGUAGCGCCUCGUGAAUUCAUCUCCGGGGGUAGAGCACUGUUUCGGCUAGGGGGCCAUCCCGGCUUACCAACCCGAUGCAAACUGCGAAUACCGGAGAAUGUUAUCACGGGAGACACACGGCGGGUGCUAACGUCCGUCGUGAAGAGGGAAACAACCCAGACCGCCAGCUAAGGUCCCAAAGUCAUGGUUAAGUGGGAAACGAUGUGGGAAGGCCCAGACAGCCAGGAUGUUGGCUUAGAAGCAGCCAUCAUUUAAAGAAAGCGUAAUAGCUCACUGGUCGAGUCGGCCUGCGCGGAAGAUGUAACGGGGCUAAACCAUGCACCGAAGCUGCGGCAGCGAACGUAUCACCCAAGACAACUUUACGGAGUUGACGAUUGACGGAGCGAAGCGACGUCAAAGCGUUCAUUAAAGUCGAGUUGGCUUAGGGAUACGUUCGUUGGGUAGGGGAGCGUUCUGUAAGCCUGUGAAGGUGUGUCGUGAGGCAUGCUGGAGGUAUCAGAAGUGCGAAUGCUGACAUAAGUAACGAUAAAGCGGGUGAAAAGCCCGCUCGCCGGAAGACCAAGGGUUCCUGUCCAACGUUAAUCGGGGCAGGGUGAGUCGACCCCUAAGGCGAGGCCGAAAGGCGUAGUCGAUGGGAAACGGGUUAAUAUUCCCGUACUUGGUGUUACUGCGAAGGGGGGACGGAGAAGGCUAUGUUGGCCGGGCGACGGUUGUCCCGGUUUAAGCGUGUAGGUGUGUGUUCCAGGUAAAUCCGGUUCACUUUAACACUGAGGCGUGACGACGAGGCACUACGGUGCUGAAGCAACAAAUGCCCUGCUUCCAGGAAAAGCCUCUAAGCAUCAGGUAACAUCAAAUCGUACCCCAAACCGACACAGGUGGUCAGGUAGAGAAUACCAAGGCGCUUGAGAGAACUCGGGUGAAGGAACUAGGCAAAAUGGUGCCGUAACUUCGGGAGAAGGCACGCUGACACGUAGGUGAAGUGAUUUACUCAUGGAGCUGAAGUCAGUCGAAGAUACCAGCUGGCUGCAACUGUUUAUUAAAAACACAGCACUGUGCAAACACGAAAGUGGACGUAUACGGUGUGACGCCUGCCCGGUGCCGGAAGGUUAAUUGAUGGGGUCAGCGCAAGCGAAGCUCCUGAUCGAAGCCCCGGUAAACGGCGGCCGUAACUAUAACGGUCCUAAGGUAGCGAAAUUCCUUGUCGGGUAAGUUCCGACCUGCACGAAUGGCGUAAUGAUGGCCAGGCUGUCUCCACCCGAGACUCAGUGAAAUUGAACUCGCUGUGAAGAUGCAGUGUACCCGCGGCAAGACGGAAAGACCCCGUGAACCUUUACUAUAGCUUGACACUGAACAUUGAGCCUUGAUGUGUAGGAUAGGUGGGAGGCUUUGAAGUGUGGACGCCAGUCUGCAUGGAGCCGACCUUGAAAUACCACCCUUUAAUGUUUGAUGUUCUAACGUGGACCCGUAAUCCGGGUUGCGGACAGUGUCUGGUGGGUAGUUUGACUGGGGCGGUCUCCUCCUAAAGAGUAACGGAGGAGCACGAAGGUUGGCUAAUCCUGGUCGGACAUCAGGAGGUUAGUGCAAUGGCAUAAGCCAGCUUGACUGCGAGCGUGACGGCGCGAGCAGGUGCGAAAGCAGGUCAUAGUGAUCCGGUGGUUCUGAAUGGAAGGGCCAUCGCUCAACGGAUAAAAGGUACUCCGGGGAUAACAGGCUGAUACCGCCCAAGAGUUCAUAUCGACGGCGGUGUUUGGCACCUCGAUGUCGGCUCAUCACAUCCUGGGGCUGAAGUAGGUCCCAAGGGUAUGGCUGUUCGCCAUUUAAAGUGGUACGCGAGCUGGGUUUAGAACGUCGUGAGACAGUUCGGUCCCUAUCUGCCGUGGGCGCUGGAGAACUGAGGGGGGCUGCUCCUAGUACGAGAGGACCGGAGUGGACGCAUCACUGGUGUUCGGGUUGUCAUGCCAAUGGCACUGCCCGGUAGCUAAAUGCGGAAGAGAUAAGUGCUGAAAGCAUCUAAGCACGAAACUUGCCCCGAGAUGAGUUCUCCCUGAGACUUAGAGUCUCCUGAAGGAACGUUGAAGACGACGACGUUGAUAGGCCGGGUGUGUAAGCGCAGCGAUGCGUUGAGCUAACCGGUACUAAUGAACCGUGAGGCUUAACCUUACA